RNAcentral lists this transfer RNA (74 nucleotides) under Anaerolineae bacterium. RNAcentral's name for it is "tRNA-Val". It matches the Rfam family "tRNA". From Rfam's summary of the family: Transfer RNA (tRNA) molecules are approximately 80 nucleotides in length. Their secondary structure includes four short double-helical elements and three loops (D, anti-codon, and T loops). Lineage: Bacteria; Bacillati; Chloroflexota; Anaerolineae. RNAcentral also lists the same sequence under 1 other name. The record is from RNAcentral.
GGGCGGUUAGCUCAGUUGGUUAGAGCGCAGCGUUGACAUCGCUGAGGUCACUGGUUCGAAUCCAGUACCGCCCA